RNAcentral lists this transfer RNA (94 nucleotides) under Colophina clematis. Its description in RNAcentral is "tRNA-Val". Lineage: Eukaryota; Metazoa; Arthropoda; Insecta; Hemiptera; Aphididae. The record is from RNAcentral.
UAAAUAUCUAAAUUUAAGUAUAUUAUUUACAAUAAUAAGAUGUUUUUAACUUUAUUUAUAUUUAAAUAAUUAAUAAUUUUAAUUUUAGAUUUAU